Eriocheir sinensis (Chinese mitten crab) is the source of this 792-nucleotide long non-coding RNA. RefSeq lists it as uncharacterized. The record is from RefSeq and is a predicted model, not a curated record. Lineage: Eukaryota; Metazoa; Arthropoda; Malacostraca; Decapoda; Varunidae. The transcript has 2 exons.
AGUUUAGAACGUCAUUAGCAAGGUUUUCUUUUUCAUGUAAGGCGAAGGUUCGAUCAAAUGGGACCUGUUUAACGCUCUUUUUAACUAACCUUCCACAACUUCUUUAUUUUAACCUAGUACGUCACCAACAAGGUUUUCCCUCCCCAAAAUACCCCCACCCCGGCCUUGGCUCGCCUCCAACGCUGCAAAGAACAACAGCUUAUAAAAACGGUGCAUGAACGAAAAUAAAACCGCGCUGCCUUAAUACGGGGGAGAGCUUAACAGACUUUACAGCUUCACGAGUUGAGGGGAGUAGAGUAGACUAAUCUUUCGGUGUCUCUCAGUCCAUACAAACCGAGAAUAACAAUGAAAAAACACAUGUACACCAGCCAAGGGAUGAAAUAGUAUCGUCAGCUGCCGGUACAAAAAAAAAGACAACACACUGAAAUAGGUGGAAAUGAUACACGCGAGUCGGGAAACGAGAUAAUUCAUGGCCCAGUAAACUUUUAAAACGACUCAAGGGAAUAUAAUAGAUGGCUCCCUUCCGCAGUAACUCUAAUAGAAAUAAUAUAAAUAGGCGGGAAUAAUAUAACAAAAUAAUACAGAAAGAGGAAGAAUGAAGAUAGAAAUAUGAGGGAUAGAAAUGGGAAUAAUAGUAAUAAUGGAAAUAGGAAGUGUAGAAGUAAUAGAAAUAACAGAAAUAUGCGGGAAUAAUAGAAAUAAGAGAGAGGAAGAAAUCAGAUAGAAAUAGGAGUAAUAGAAAUGGGAAUAAUAGAAAUAACAGAAAUAGGCAGAAAAAUAAUAGAAAUAACA